UACAGAGGGGGCAAGCGUUGUUCGGAAUUACUGGGCGUAAAGGGCGCGUAGGCGGCCUUCUAAGUCGAACGUGAAAUCCCUGGGCUCAACCCAGGAACUGCGUCCGAUACUGGAAGGCUUGAAUCCGGGAGAGGGAUGCGGAAUUCCAGGUGUAGCGGUGAAAUGCGUAGAUAUCUGGAGGAAUACCGGUGGCGAAGGCGGCCUUUUGGGCCUUUCUUGACGCUGAGACGCGAAAGCGUGGGUAGCAAACAGG
This 253-nucleotide ribosomal RNA is filed under the name uncultured bacterium. RNAcentral's name for it is "partial 16S ribosomal RNA". It matches the Rfam family "Bacterial small subunit ribosomal RNA", at positions 524 to 776 of the family's 1533-position model. The record is from RNAcentral.